RNAcentral lists this ribosomal RNA (497 nucleotides) under uncultured bacterium. Its description in RNAcentral is "partial 16S ribosomal RNA". It matches the Rfam family "Bacterial small subunit ribosomal RNA", at positions 28 to 507 of the family's 1533-position model. The record is from RNAcentral.
GAUGAACGCUGGCGGCGUGCCUAAUACAUGCAAGUCGAGCGAACAGACGAGGAGCUUGCUCCUCUGAUGUUAGCGGCGGACGGGUGAGUAACACGUGGAUAACCUACCUAUAAGACUGGGAUAACUUCGGGAAACCGGAGCUAAUACCGGAUAACAUGUUGAACCGCAUGGUUCAACAGUGAAAGACGGUCUUGCUGUCACUUAUAGAUGGAUCCGCGCCGCAUUAGCUAGUUGGUAAGGUAACGGCUUACCAAGGCAACGAUGCGUAGCCGACCUGAGAGGGUGAUCGGCCACACUGGAACUGAGACACGGUCCAGACUCCUACGGGAGGCAGCAGUAGGGAAUUUUCCGCAAUGGGCGAAAGCCUGACGGAGCAACGCCGCGUGAGUGAAGAAGGUCCUCGGAUCGUAAAACUCUGUUAUUAGGGAAGAACAAAUGUGUAAGUAACUAUGCACGUCUUGACGGUACCUAAUCAGAAAGCCACGGCUAACUACGUG